AGCGAACGCUGGCGGCAGGCUUAACACAUGCAAGUCGAGCGGGCGUAGCAAUACGUCAGCGGCCGACGGGUGAGUAACGCGGGGGAACGUACCUUUUGAUUCGGAACAACACAGGGAAACUUGUGCUAAUACCGGAUAAGCCCUUACGGGAAAAGAUUUAACGCCGAAAGAUCGGAUCGCGUCUGAUGAUCUAGUUGGUGAGGUAACAGCUCACCAAGGCGCCGAUCAGUAUCUGGUCUGAGAGGAUCAUCAGACACAACGGGACUGAGACACGGCACAAACUCCUACGGGAGGCAGGAGUGGGGAAUAUUGGAAAAUGGGGGCAACGCUGAUCCAGCCAUGCCGCGUGAGUGAUGAAGGCCCUAGGGUUGUAAAGCUUUUUUGUGCGGGAAGAUAAUGACGGUACCGAAAGAGUAAGCCCCGGCUAACUUCGUG
Molecule: ribosomal RNA, 435 nt
Filed under: uncultured bacterium
Lineage: Bacteria
Description: partial 16S ribosomal RNA
Rfam family: Bacterial small subunit ribosomal RNA
Source: RNAcentral